This is a long non-coding RNA of Lynx canadensis (Canada lynx), 306 nucleotides long. RefSeq lists it as uncharacterized. Lineage: Eukaryota; Metazoa; Chordata; Mammalia; Carnivora; Felidae. The record is from RefSeq and is a predicted model, not a curated record. The transcript has 3 exons.
AUUUUGGUGUCAAAUCCAAAAAAAUCAUCACAGUGAUAAUAAACUUACUAUCUAUUCUUCCAGGAGUUUUAUAGUUUCAGGUGUUACAUUCAAGUCUUUCAUCCAUUUUUAGUUUAUUUUUGUGUACAGUGAUUGACGAAAUUGUCCCGUCCCCAUUGUAAACUCUUGGUUCUUUUGUCAUAAAUUAAUUGACCAUAUAUGUAUGGAUUUAUUUCUGGGCACCCUAUUCUGUUCUGUUGAUCUAUGUGUCUCAUUUUAUGCCAGUAUAAUACUGUUUCGAUUACCGUACAUCUUUUAAUCUGAAGC